CUAGCUGUAAACGAUGGAUGCUAGGUGUGAGUGGAUCUAACCCCGCUCGUGCCGAAGCUAACGCGUUAAGCAUCCCGCCUGGGAACUACGAGCGCAAGCUUAAAACUCAAAGGAAUUGACGGGGACCCGCACAAGCAGCGGAGCGUGUGGUUUAAUUCGAUGCUACACGAAGAACCUUACCCAGGUUUGACAUGUAGGUGGUAGUGAAGCGAAAGCGGAACGACCCGCAAGGGAGCCUGCACAGGUGU
RNAcentral lists this ribosomal RNA (248 nucleotides) under uncultured Chloroflexota bacterium. Its description in RNAcentral is "uncultured Chloroflexi bacterium partial 16S ribosomal RNA". It matches the Rfam family "Bacterial small subunit ribosomal RNA", at positions 796 to 1041 of the family's 1533-position model. The record is from RNAcentral. Lineage: Bacteria; Bacillati; Chloroflexota.